GGUUCCAUAGUGUAGUGGUUAGCAUGUCUGCUUUACAUGCAGAAGGUCCUUGGUUCAUGCCCAAUGGAGCCA
Molecule: transfer RNA, 72 nt
Filed under: Pteropus alecto (black flying fox)
Lineage: Eukaryota; Metazoa; Chordata; Mammalia; Chiroptera; Pteropodidae
Rfam family: tRNA
About the family: Transfer RNA (tRNA) molecules are approximately 80 nucleotides in length. Their secondary structure includes four short double-helical elements and three loops (D, anti-codon, and T loops).
Source: Rfam by way of RNAcentral